Molecule: microRNA precursor, 84 nt
Filed under: Ovis aries (sheep)
Lineage: Eukaryota; Metazoa; Chordata; Mammalia; Artiodactyla; Bovidae
Description: miRNA (ENSOARG00000023717.1)
Source: RNAcentral
UAUUGAGUUGGCCCAAAAGUUCGUUCAGAUUUUUCCAUAACAUCUUACGGAAAAACCCAAACAAACUAUUUUGCCAACCCAAUA